UCCAAGCAAAAGCCAGGCGAAGACAAGCAGGAGGAAGGUUCAGCUUAGAGUUGGUCAAAGAAGAUUUGUUCUGUAGCGGACUAUUUCAAUUUCAUGGGAACCCUCUCUCUCUCUCUCUCUCUCUCUCUUUUUGUGAAUUAUGGUUUGAGAAAUAUGCAGAUUUGUCUCUGAGAAUCUGUUUGGUGAGUAACUUCUUUGUUGUUGGAGAGGAAACUUACAAAUCUGAGAUGAUUUAUGAUCAUGAUCACACUUUCAUGGAUUCGGUGCUCAACAAAGAAGUUACUUAUUGGGAUUUUUUUUUUAUCAGGAUGUUUGCUGAAUUCACGUAGUUUUAUAAUAAAUCUUUUGUAACUUGCCAACAAAAAAGAUGCCUCAUGACCCACAAUCUGAUACUACCUGAGCAGUUCCUUUAUUUUUGUCCAAUGUAUUAAUACUACUUUGAAGCCCGAAGGUCUGGCAUCUCAUUCUGGAGUAUCCAUUGUUGUUACUGAAAUCCAAUGAAAGCUUCAGUUUUCAUCCAAAAAAAAA
This 528-nucleotide unclassified non-coding RNA is filed under the name Hevea brasiliensis (rubber tree). The record is from RNAcentral. Lineage: Eukaryota; Viridiplantae; Streptophyta; Magnoliopsida; Malpighiales; Euphorbiaceae.